This 678-nucleotide long non-coding RNA is filed under the name Bos taurus (domestic cattle). RNAcentral describes it as "long non-coding RNA NONBTAT013660". The record is from RNAcentral. Lineage: Eukaryota; Metazoa; Chordata; Mammalia; Artiodactyla; Bovidae.
UAUAAAAGCCAAAAGUUUAUAUUUGUUUUUUCAAUAAGAAAACACUAUACAAGAUAAGAAAUUGAUAUCAAGAGGGAUGGUAGUGGAAGAGUGGUAACUCAGUCAUGGGUGAAUAAUGGGGCUUAUGAAAAAAAUCAAAGUAUUGGGAAAAUAAAUGGAACUUAGAAAAAACGUGGCGAGCUUCCUUGCCCACAUGUUCUGCUAAAUCAAACACAUCACGUUUCCAACAAGAAAUGAUUUUCAUCACCACCAUUCAUAUGCCACAUGCCCCAGCCCUUAAGUUAUUGAUGCAUCUAGAUAAAGUAGGAAUGAUACUUUUUAACUCUUAAGAGUGAGGAGAGCUAGCAAUUUCAUAAAGUGGCUACUGGUAAGACGAUUUCUUUUUCCUUAGGGGAUUAUACAAGUAGAAAAAGGAGUCAUCUAAUUCAUGUAUUGCGUAAUAGUAGAAAAGAUGGACUCUGUUAAAAUGUAGAAACAAGAUAGUACAUUAUGUAAUACAGACUGUAUAAAACUGAAGACUGUAGAUUAUGUAAGAGCUGGUUGGAGACAUACUAUAAUUAGCAAUCUGUUGAUGUUCUACUCCCCCAGCUCAAAAGGGAGCAUAAUUUUUGUUGCGGGAUUUCCCCCUCCGUAUUUUAAAGGAAGUAUUUUCUAACUGCCCCAGGUUUCUCCAAGCUC